UCCUUCCCCUUAUUGAUCUCUCAAACAGGCCAUAAGAGUUUUUCUCAGCAAUCUAUUUCUAUUCAGUCCCUGUUCAAUCCAGUUGUCGAUACCUAUGGAGGUUCCAUGUUCUUGAAACCCAUGAGCUCAAAUCCUGAGAAGAGCAUUUUGAUUACUGCUAAGAGUUCUUCUCAACGUCAACCCAUCUUUGUUAAUCCACUAUUCAAUCCCAUUCUUGAUGCCCAUGAAGUCACAGAGUGAUAUGUGGGAGCUUCUCGCCAGUUCCACAGUGUGGUCCCCCUCCAGCCAUUGACCAAGAAAGGCGUGACGGUCCUACAGAAAAGAUUUGAAUAGGAGCUUCUCACCAGUUGCACAUUGUGGUCUCCCUCCUACCAUUGACCAAGAAGGCGUGACGAUCCUAUAGAAAAGAUUGAAUCGCUGAAGGCAACUUGAAUUCAUUGCUGUUCUCAAAUGUUCUUCAAAUUCCCACAUCGGGCUCUGAUCAGUACCUGAUCGAUCCUGUUCAUGAAGCCCAUGAAGGCCGAAUGACUUAACAUUGUGGCGCCGAUAUUCAAAACAGUAAGCUUUGCCAAAUAUUUUCUCUGUAUUCUUUAAUUUUAAUAAUUUGUGGUGGCAAAAGUACAGGGAUGUCCAGUAUUAAUUUAGUUCUAUGUAUU
This is a long non-coding RNA of Asparagus officinalis (garden asparagus), 656 nucleotides long. RefSeq lists it as uncharacterized. Lineage: Eukaryota; Viridiplantae; Streptophyta; Magnoliopsida; Asparagales; Asparagaceae. The transcript has 6 exons. The record is from RefSeq and is a predicted model, not a curated record.